UACGGAGGGAGCUAGCGUUAUUCGGAAUUACUGGGCGUAAAGCGUGCGUAGGUGGUUUGUUAAGUCUGAUGUGAAAGCCCUGGGCUCAACCUGGGAAUUGCAUUGGAUACUGGCAGGCUAGAGUGCGGUAGAGGAUGGCGGAAUUCCCGGUGUAGCAGUGAAAUGCGUAGAGAUCGGGAGGAACAUCUGUGGCGAAGGCGGCCAUCUGGACCAGCACUGACACUGAGGCACGAAAGCGUGGGGAGCAAACAGG
RNAcentral lists this ribosomal RNA (253 nucleotides) under uncultured bacterium. RNAcentral describes it as "partial 16S ribosomal RNA". It matches the Rfam family "Bacterial small subunit ribosomal RNA", at positions 524 to 776 of the family's 1533-position model. The record is from RNAcentral.